GUGGCUGUAGCUCAAUGGUUAGAGUACCAGACUGUGGAUCUGGGUGUUGUGGGUUCGAGUCCCAUCAGCCACCCCU
This 76-nucleotide transfer RNA is filed under the name Planctomycetota bacterium. Its description in RNAcentral is "Planctomycetes bacterium (sediment metagenome) tRNA-His". It matches the Rfam family "tRNA". From Rfam's summary of the family: Transfer RNA (tRNA) molecules are approximately 80 nucleotides in length. Their secondary structure includes four short double-helical elements and three loops (D, anti-codon, and T loops). Further hydrogen bonds mediate the characteristic L-shaped molecular structure. tRNAs have two regions of fundamental functional importance: the anti-codon, which is responsible for specific mRNA codon recognition, and the 3' end, to which the tRNAs corresponding amino acid is attached (by aminoacyl-tRNA synthetases). tRNAs cope with the degeneracy of the genetic code in two manners: having more than one tRNA (with a specific anti-codon) for a particular amino acid; and 'wobble' base-pairing, i.e. permitting non-standard base-pairing at the 3rd anti-codon position. The record is from RNAcentral. Lineage: Bacteria; Pseudomonadati; Planctomycetota.